UCCUCCCCAACCCGUCUUACCCUCGCCCUUCGUUCUUAGGUUGCAACGGACUAUAGUGUCGUUGAAUGCGCUUUUCACCACGCACCGGUGUACUGCAAAGAAGCAAACACCACGGAGUAGGCAUCGCAACUUUGUAUGUCUUGCUUCUCUGCAGCGGACCCUGUGUUAAGGAGAAAGCUCUCCUCCAAAGUGAGACUCAACACAAUUCCUGAACACAACUUCGGCUCGUAAAUAUGAUGGAUUACAAGAUCCCGGCGGCACCUUUUCCAAUUUCGAGAUUUAGACAAUAGGCCAGCUCAAGCGGAGAUUUCAUUGCCUCCAUGCUGAGUUGAGGAUGCAGCCAGAGAGAUGCUGCGACAUCACUGUUGCCUGCUGUGUCCUGCACAACCUGGCCAAGACAUACCCCUGCAGCAUGCCAAGGACUGUCCUCCCCGAAGAGGUUCCCGUCGAGCCCGUGGCAGCGGGCCGUGAUGAAAGCAACGAGGCUCGGGAUGCCAUCGUCAGCCAGUUCUUCGGUUGAGCCAGGAGAUUAGCUCCCUCGAGCUGCUGCUGCCUUUCUGUCUCCUGCAAGAAGCGCUGUGAAGCCUCCCGGCACCAACGUCGGCUGUAUGGCACAUUUGUUGGAGCCCGCUGCACCGCCUCCAGCGGCC
This 650-nucleotide long non-coding RNA is filed under the name Ixodes scapularis (black-legged tick). RNAcentral describes it as "uncharacterized LOC121835542, transcript variant X1". The record is from RNAcentral. Lineage: Eukaryota; Metazoa; Arthropoda; Arachnida; Ixodida; Ixodidae.